GAUUCAUCACCGUUUUCCAUUAAUCGCGUUGUGUGUCUCAAAGAAGAGGAGUACGGUCUGCUGGUCUACCUGUUAAAGUUUUGGAAUAAUCCAACAGUUACCAUACCGUGAGUAACUUUUGCUUUUUUAAAGUGGUCUUUCCAUUCAGAAAGAGUUGAAAUAGUUAUCGGUUGACCUCCCAAAGGAGUUUGUCUGUACCGGUUAAAUAGAGGUAGAACAAUAGAAAUCCCAACCGAGAUGUGUGAUAUGGCUGCAUGCUAACGGUAGCUAACUAAAUACCUCUACCGAUCUGUGUAGCCUAGUUGUAUUAUGCCAUGUUAAUUAGCAGUCUUCACUUUACCUUGACUGUCUAGCUGUGACUCAAUGCAGCGAUUCAAACAGCGUGGGGUUUCGAUGGCUGUUUCUAGCUAACGUUAGCCAUAGUGCUAACGCUAGGUCAGUCGUCGGUCAGAAGUUGUAACUAAUGUCAGUUGCUUUCUCCUUUCGAUGUUUUUUUUUUUUUUUUAUUGCGUUCUGAUUGGGCUUUUCUCCUCCACGAUGCUUAAGUACAAGUGGACAAACUAGUUAGCACAACGUUCACGAGAAGUUUUAUUCUUUCGAUGUAUGCUGUUCGUGCCCGCUCAAACGAACAAAGACUGCAGUGCAAUUUAUGCUAUGUUGGCAACUGGGCCGAGGCAGCAAGCUGGAAGGCGGGGUGGCGUUCAUAAUCGAGCGCGACUGGAACCGACGAAGCGCCUCCCAGCGGUGCAUUUACGUUAGCUGUGGGGGAGGGUAACGUUGAAAUGGUAACGAUUGUUAUAAUGACGCUAAAUUGUUUCAGUUAUUGCAACUAUUGUUUAACUAUCAAAAGUGAUGUGGGAUAAAUUGGCUGCAACAUUUCAGCGUUUCUGCUUUUGUAGAAAAUGUUGCUUCAUUUUUAGCCGCCUUUUCCCAUCGACCGCGAUAGAAAAUGUAAUGUCUCAUUUUGAAGGCAUUUCAAAUCAUUUUCGGACUUACUUAAAUAUAUUUUCCUAGUGAGAAAUGGCUCGUACCAAGCAGACCGCCCGUAAGUCCACCGGAGGAAAGGCGCCAAGGAAGCAGCUCGCCACAAAGGCGGCCAGGAAAAGUGCGCCAUCCACCGGAGGAGUGAAGAAGCCCCAUCGUUACAGGCCAGGAACAGUGGCUCUGAGGGAGAUCCGUCGUUACCAGAAGUCUACUGAGCUGCUGAUCCGCAAGCUGCCCUUCCAGCGCCUGGUGAGAGAAAUCGCCCAGGACUUCAAGACGGACCUGCGUUUCCAGAGUGCUGCCAUUGGCGCCCUUCAGGAGGCCAGCGAAGCAUACCUGGUGGGUCUGUUUGAGGAUACCAACCUGUGCGCCAUCCACGCCAAGCGUGUCACCAUCAUGCCCAAAGACAUCCAGCUGGCCCGCAGGAUAAGGGGAGAGAGAGCCUAAAUGGUACUCGACCUCCUGCUCGAGACACACAAUCCUAUUUAUCCCACUUAACCAUUUUGUGAAUUUUUUUUAAUGUUAUUUCUUGGGUUUUUCCUUUUGUAAUGUAUUUUAGAAUGAGGUAACGAUCAGAUAUGGUUAGUGUGCAGAUAGGAUGAUCAGCUUGCCUUCAAUUGCAAAUGAGGCUUGUUUUUAUCUUAGAGGAUAGAAAGUGUUACAUGACUGUCACCGUGUUGACUUCAGUCAGGUGGCCUCUUCACAUGUUAACUGGGUCAUUUAGGGUGACAGUAAUACAUACUCUAGAUGACAGCGCCUUUGUGGUUGGGGGGGUGGGUUUAUGAGGUAAAAGAACGAGUCAGCUCUGUCAGCUUCCGGGGUGGUGUGUCAGGGUCUCAUCUAUUUCCACCCUUUGUCUCAGCAGUCUGCCAGCAUGUCUUGCACAACAGUUCACUCCUAGCACUCCAUAAUGGUGUCAGGGGGAUUGUCUAUGCACAGUUACUCCUCCUGACACUGUCAGGGAUGGCCAGGAGCAUGACCAAGACUCUGUAUAUUCUGGACUGUUUUUUACAAUGUUAUUUUUCAAACAUGCAACAAACCUUGGCAGCUACAUUUAAUAUUUAUGAUUGUCACAUUGUCUUUCUAUUAAAUGUCUUUACAAGUAAAUGCUUGUUUGGUUUUCAUUAUCCACUAGGUGCUUUAACAAUGAAGUCCUUUAGUUACUUCAUGUUAAUUCUAUUAUAGCAAUACUUGGAAGACACAUUGCUGUUCUGUGGGUUGACAUCAAU
RNAcentral lists this long non-coding RNA (2213 nucleotides) under Salmo salar (Atlantic salmon). Its description in RNAcentral is "lncRNA (ENSSSAG00000091303.1)". Lineage: Eukaryota; Metazoa; Chordata; Actinopteri; Salmoniformes; Salmonidae. The record is from RNAcentral.